Peromyscus maniculatus bairdii (prairie deer mouse) is the source of this 107-nucleotide small nuclear RNA. Lineage: Eukaryota; Metazoa; Chordata; Mammalia; Rodentia; Cricetidae. The record is from Ensembl.
UUGCUCCCUUCAGCAGUACAUACACUAAAAUUGGAACAAUACAGAGAAGAUUAACAUGGCCCCUGUGAAAGGAUGACAUGCAAAUUUGUGAAGUGUUCCAUAUUAAA